Molecule: long non-coding RNA, 1939 nt
Organism: Nomascus leucogenys (northern white-cheeked gibbon)
Lineage: Eukaryota; Metazoa; Chordata; Mammalia; Primates; Hylobatidae
Exons: 3
Source: RefSeq, a predicted model, not a curated record
CUGGAGGUGGUCGGAAUGGACUGGCUGGAGUGCGGCGGGCUGACAGGUCUGAGGCCUGAGGGAGUUCGGGGAACCGCAAAGCACGGUGUGCCUCCGUUGUCCUGAAGAAAAAGCCGCGCGUGGACGACUGGCCGGCCCGCGCUUGCAGCUCCCAGAAGUUGACAGGCAUCCUCCGGUGACCGGUGUGAGUAUGGUGUCAGGAUGAUUUGACUGCAAGCAACAGAAAAAUCAAACAAAAAUGGCCUAAGCCAAGAAGAGAAAUGAUUAUUUCACAUUCUAAGAAGUUUGGGAGUCGAGUGGUUAAACGGCUAAUUAAUCUAGAGCUCAACAAUAUCACCCAGGACCCAUUUUCACUAUGGUGGCUAAAGCCCUGCACCCUUCAGGCUUGCACCAUGGCAGCAGCAGUGACAGUAAAGACACCCUUACACCACAAUGCUCCAUGACCAGGGAGAGGGUCUCCUCUCUCUUGCCCCUUUCUAGAGGCUCCACCGAAGAUUUCUCUUCACAUUCCGUUUCUCAUUCCUAAAGCAGUCGCUGGCAACAGGGAUGUGCUUACCACAAUGGGUACAGAGCAAUUAAGAUUCACCACUAGGUGAGUCCUUUGGAAAACACUUGGUCACCCAAUAUAUAAACAAAUCUUGUACUCUUGUCAAGAAAGAGGCAGCACUUUAUGGCUUCUCUUGGGCAUAUCCAAAUUGCUGUCAUCACUACUUGUAUUAGUCGAUUUUCACGCUGCUGAUAAAGACAUACCUGAGACUGAGAAAUUUACCAAAGAAAGAGGUGUAUUGGACUUACAGUUCCACAUGGCUGAGGAGGCCUCACGAUCAUGGUGGAAGGCAAGAAGGAGCAAGUCACAUCUUACAUGGAUGGCAGCUGGCAAAGAGAGAGCUUGUACAGGGAGACUCCCGUUUUGAAAGCCAUCAGAUCUUGUGAGACUCAUUCACUAUCACAAGAACAGUGCAGGAAAGACGCACCCCUGUACUUCAAUCACCUCCCACCAGGUUCCUCCCACAACAUGUGGGAAUUGUGAGAGUUACAAUUCAAGAUGAGAUUUGGUUGGGGACACAGCCAAACCAUAUCACUAUUCUUGUGCUUUGGGGCCAUUGUUAAGUAAAACAAGCAUUAUUUGAACACAAGUACUGCAAUACCACCACAGUAGAUCUGAUAACUGAUGGCUACUAAGUGACUAAGGGGCAGGUGGAGUAUACAGCGUGGAUGCGCUGGACAAAGGGGAGGAUCUACCUCCCAGCUGGGUUGGAGCAGGACGGUGCAAGAUUUCAUCACACUACUCAGAAAGGCAUGCAGUUUAAAGCUUGUAAAUUAUUUCAGGAAUUUUCCAUUUAAUAUUUUCAGGCUGUGGCUGACCGUGGGUAACAAACCCAGGAAAGUGAAACUGUGGAACCAUGGAUGGGAGAAAGGGUGAAUUACUGUAUAUUCAUGGAGGAUAUUAGUCCAUAGUUUCUUUUUUCCUUUUUAACAAAUUUUUGGGUUUUGUAUAUAGUUUGUCUGGUUUUGGUAUCAGGGUAAUACUAGCUUCAUAAAAUGAAUUGGAAAGUGUUUCUUCUGUUUUCUUAAAAAGAUUAUAUGGAAUCAGCGUUUGUUCUUUAAACACUUGGUAGACAUCUUAAGUAAAACCAUCUGGGCUUGGAGAUUUUUUUGUGUGUGUUGUAAGAUUACAUAUUCAGUUUCCUUAAUAUUUAUAGGAUCAUUUUAAUUAUGUGUUUUUCAGUGAAACGGGUCCAUUUUCUAUAUGUUGUCCAAUUAAUAUUUGUAGAAUUGUGUUAGUAUUCUUCAUUAUCCUUUUGAUGUCUGCAGAAUCUGUAACGGUAUCCCUGUUUUAUUUCUGAUAUUAAUUUGUGCCGUUAUGUCUUUUUUUUCUUUGUUGGUCUUGUCAGAAGUUUGUCAAUUUUAUCAAUUUGUUCCAAGAACCAGCUCAUUG